Molecule: ribosomal RNA, 449 nt
Filed under: uncultured bacterium
Lineage: Bacteria
Description: partial 16S ribosomal RNA
Rfam family: Bacterial small subunit ribosomal RNA
Source: RNAcentral
AAUGAACGCUGGCGGCAUGCCUAACACAUGCAAGUCGAACGAGACCUUCGGGUCUAGUGGCGCACGGGUGCGUAACGCGUGGGAAUCUGCCCUUGGGUUCGGAAUAACAGUUAGAAAUGACUGCUAAUACCGAAUGAUGACGUAAGUCCGAAGAUUUAUCGCCCAGGGAUGAGCCCGCGUAGGAUUAGCUUGUUGGUGAGGUAAAAGCUCACCAAGGCGACGAUCCUUAGCUGGUCUGAGAGGAUGAUCAGCCACACUGGGACUGAGACACGGCCCAGACUCCUACGGGAGGCAGCAGUGGGGAAUAUUGGACAAUGGGCGAAAGCCUGAUCCAGCAAUGCCGCGUGAGUGAUGAAGGCCUUAGGGUUGUAAAGCUCUUUUACCCGGGAUGAUAAUGACAGUACCGGGAGAAUAAGCUCCGGCUAACUCCGUGCCAGCCGCCGCAGUAA